CAGCUCUGGAGAUGUGGAAACAGGC
This 25-nucleotide non-coding RNA is filed under the name Cricetulus griseus (Chinese hamster). Lineage: Eukaryota; Metazoa; Chordata; Mammalia; Rodentia; Cricetidae. The record is from RNAcentral.